UUACGCAAGCCCAUUUACUUCACCACGCACAGAUGAGCUCUUGUUUCCUAGAAGCGUUCUCUUACAAACAGUGCUGAUGAGCAGCAGAUGGCAGCAUUGACUUAGUUCUCCUAGACAGAGGCUCCUGCUCUCCAUGGUGACUGUAGUCACACACACGUAAUGACAGGCCGCAGGAUAUUUAAGAAUGGAAAUGAGCUGGCAGGAGAUGACGCUGAAACUGUUGGACAGAUACAACAUCAUCAAAAUUAGACCCGAAGUGAUGUAAUGCAGGAAGCGAGUCAUCGGAUGGAACCCGAAGUAUUGUCAUCGAAUGGAAGCUACGUCAUCAGAGGAUGCCAGAAGUGAUGUCUGGGAAGCCAUUUUGGAACCCGGAUGUAUGUACUGAGAAACCACCCUCUUGAAGGCACCUAGCCCCGCCCCUUCCAGUCUGAGCACUAUAAAUCAUGGGUGUCCCAGAAGAAGGUGUCACAUUUGGCCUGAGCAACCCAUGACCCAACUUAAUAUCGAGAAACCUCAGAUGGAGGAAAGUGUGCUUAAUGCACCCAACCAUAAUACAUUAUUCUCUACAAAUGUAAUUCCGAUGGCAAAUAAAGUACUAAGGGUUACAAAGUGAAUCAGACUUCAAAACUGUGCUGAUAAACAGGUUCUUGAACUUCGCUCCAUAAGCUGUGCACGUUUUGUGUUGUUUACAUUUUUAAUGAUAUUGAAAAAAAGAAACAAUUUCCAGGACUGCCAUGUUGUUUUUUGUAUAGGCGCCAUCAUCUGUUUUGUGUGUUAGAUGCUUAUGGCUCCUGUGCUGUUGCAAGGUAAGGUCAACCAAAAAUGUGCGGCACGUGACAUCACUUGGCCAAAGGUAUAAAGAUCAGCGUUGUGCACUUCCUGGUUAUCCAAAAUUGUUUCUGGCUACAAUUUUUUUGCCCUGCUUUUUGACUAUGAUUUAUGAUUUACAAUUUUGGCGCUUAUUCCUUUUCGUUUCUGGUUGCCAAACUUUCCUGCGCUGUUUACUGACUAUAAUUCUUGAAACACAUCGUAAGCACUUUUAAUGAUUAGUCUUUUUAGUCCUGACACUUGGCUAGAAAACACAGGACUUAGCACCAUCUCCUGAUUCCAGUUCCACUGUGCAGUCAAUAUGUACGUGUUAGCUUCUUUUAGGUUGGACUGUGCAAUCUGCAAAACCUGCUUCUCAAGUUUGGGGGUAAGGCUUAUUUUAUGCAUUUAACACUCUAGGGACCAUACGUAAUCCAUGUGGAAAAAUAAUAAAUAGUUUGA
Molecule: long non-coding RNA, 1269 nt
Organism: Polypterus senegalus (gray bichir)
Lineage: Eukaryota; Metazoa; Chordata; Cladistia; Polypteriformes; Polypteridae
Exons: 3
Source: RefSeq, a predicted model, not a curated record